UGCGCAGGCGGUUUUGUAAGUCUGAUGUGAAAUCCCCGGGCUCAACCUGGGAAUUGCAUUGGAGACUGCAAGGCUAGAAUCUGGCAGAGGGGGGUAGAAUUCCACGUGUAGCAGUGAAAUGCGUAGAUAUGUGGAGGAACACCGAUGGCGAAGGCAGCCCCCUGGGUCAAGAUUGACGCUCAUGCACGAAAGCGUGGGGAGCAAACAGGAUUAGAUACCCUGGUAGUCCACGCCCUAAACGAUGUCUACUAGUUGUCGGGCCUUAAUUGACUUGGUAACGCAGCUAACGCGUGAAGUAGACCGCCUGGGGAGUACGGUCGCAAGAUUAAA
This 330-nucleotide ribosomal RNA is filed under the name uncultured bacterium. RNAcentral describes it as "bacterial SSU rRNA". It matches the Rfam family "Bacterial small subunit ribosomal RNA", at positions 568 to 898 of the family's 1533-position model. The record is from RNAcentral.